Molecule: ribosomal RNA, 90 nt
Filed under: uncultured bacterium
Lineage: Bacteria
Description: partial 16S ribosomal RNA
Rfam family: Bacterial small subunit ribosomal RNA
Source: RNAcentral
CCUGUCACAUCAUGAAAGCCGUUUGUACCCGAAGUCGUCGUGCUAACCGCAAGGAGGCAGAUGCCGAAGGUAUGGAUGGUGAUUGGGAUG